GACGAACGCUGGCGGCGUGCUUAACACAUGCAAGUCGAACGAUGAAAUGGAGCUUGCUCCAUGGAUUAGUGGCGAACGGGUGAGUAACACGUGAAUAACCUGCCCUUAAUUUUGGAAUAACCCAGGGAAACCUGGGCUAAUACAGGCUAAGUAAACAUGUGGCAUCACAGGGUUUUGGAAAGGUCUUCGAUUAAGGAUGGAUUCGCGGCCUAUCAGCUUGUUGGUGAGGUAAUGGCUCACCAAGGCGACGACGGGUAGCCGGCCUGGGAGGGUGAACGGCCACAAUGCGACUGAGACACGGCCCAGACUCCUACGGGAGGCAGCAGUGGGGAAUAUUGCGCAAUGGACGAAAGUCUGACGCAGCGACGCCUCGUGAGGGACGAAGGUCUUCGGAUUGUAAACCUCUUUCAGCAGGGACGAAGCGAAAGUGACGGUACCUGCAGAAGAAGCACCGGCUAACUAUGUGCCAGCCGCCGCUGUAA
RNAcentral lists this ribosomal RNA (482 nucleotides) under uncultured bacterium. Its description in RNAcentral is "partial 16S ribosomal RNA". It matches the Rfam family "Bacterial small subunit ribosomal RNA", at positions 28 to 523 of the family's 1533-position model. The record is from RNAcentral.